Molecule: ribosomal RNA, 1372 nt
Filed under: uncultured bacterium
Lineage: Bacteria
Description: bacterial SSU rRNA
Rfam family: Bacterial small subunit ribosomal RNA
Source: RNAcentral
GAUGAACGCUGGCGGCGUGCCUAAUACAUGCAAGUCGAGCGAACGGACGAGAAGCUUGCUUCUCUGAUGUUAGCGGCGGACGGGUGAGUAACACGUGGAUAACCUACCUAUAAGACUGGGAUAACUUCGGGAAACCGGAGCUAAUACCGGAUAAUAUUUUGAACCGCAUGGUUCAAAAGUGAAAGACGGUCUUGCUGUCACUUAUAGAUGGAUCCGCGCUGCAUUAGCUAGUUGGUAAGGUAACGGCUUACCAAGGCAACGAUGCAUAGCCGACCUGAGAGGGUGAUCGGCCACACUGGAACUGAGACACGGUCCAGACUCCUACGGGAGGCAGCAGUAGGGAAUCUUCCGCAAUAGGCGAAAGCCUGACGGAGCAACGCCGCGUGAGUGAUGAAGGUCUUCGGAUCGUAAAACUCUGUUAUUAGGGAAGAACAUAUGUGUAAGUAACUGUGCACAUCUUGACGGUACCUAAUCAGAAAGCCACGGCUAACUACGUGCCAGCAGCCGCGGUAAUACGUAGGUGGCAAGCGUUAUCCGGAAUUAUUGGGCGUAAAGCGCGCGUAGGCGGUUUUUUAAGUCUGAUGUGAAAGCCCACGGCUCAACCGUGGAGGGUCAUUGGAAACUGGAAAACUUGAGUGCAGAAGAGGAAAGUGGAAUUCCAUGUGUAGCGGUGAAAUGCGCAGAGAUAUGGAGGAACACCAGUGGCGAAGGCGACUUUCUGGUCUGUAACUGACGCUGAUGUGCGAAAGCGUGGGGAUCAAACAGGAUUAGAUACCCUGGUAGUCCACGCCGUAAACGAUGAGUGCUAAGUGUUAGGGGGUUUCCGCCCCUUAGUGCUGCAGCUAACGCAUUAAGCACUCCGCCUGGGGAGUACGACCGCAAGGUUGAAACUCAAAGGAAUUGACGGGGACCCGCACAAGCGGUGGAGCAUGUGGUUUAAUUCGAAGCAACGCGAAGAACCUUACCAAAUCUUGACAUCCUUUGACAACUCUAGAGAUAGAGCCUUCCCCUUCGGGGGACAAAGUGACAGGUGGUGCAUGGUUGUCGUCAGCUCGUGUCGUGAGAUGUUGGGUUAAGUCCCGCAACGAGCGCAACCCUUAAGCUUAGUUGCCAUCAUUAAGUUGGGCACUCUAAGUUGACUGCCCGUGACAAACCGGAGGAAGGUGGGGAUGACGUCAAAUCAUCAUGCCCCUUAUGAUUUGGGCUACACACGUGCUACAAUGGACAAUACAAAGGGCAGCGAAACCGCGAGGUCAAGCAAAUCCCAUAAAGUUGUUCUCAGUUCGGAUUGUAGUCUGCAACUCGACUACAUGAAGCUGGAAUCGCUAGUAAUCGUAGAUCAGCAUGCUACGGUGAAUACGUUCCCGGGUCU